This 405-nucleotide ribosomal RNA is filed under the name uncultured bacterium. RNAcentral's name for it is "bacterial SSU rRNA". It matches the Rfam family "Bacterial small subunit ribosomal RNA", at positions 273 to 670 of the family's 1533-position model. The record is from RNAcentral.
GCGAAGACGGGUAGCUGGUCUGAGAGGACGACCAGCCACACUGGAACUGAGACACGGUCCAGACACCUACGGGUGGCAGCAGUCGAGGAUUUUUCUCAAUGGGGGAAACCCUGAAGGAGCGACGCCGCGUGGGGGAUGAAGGUCUUCGGAUUGUAAACCCCUGUCAUCUGGGAACAAUGCUGUUCACCUAACACGUGAACAGUUGAUAGUACCGGAAGAGGAAGCAGUGGCUAACUCUGUGCCAGCAGCCGCGGUAAUACAGAGACUGCAAGCGUUGUUCGGAUUCAUUGGGCGUAAAGGGUGCGCAGGCGGUCGGGUAAAGUCGGAUGUGAAAUCCCGCAACUUAACUGCGGAAGGUCAUUCGAAACUGCUUGACUCGAGGACUGGAGAAGAGACUGGAUUGUC